This 738-nucleotide unclassified non-coding RNA is filed under the name Amphibalanus amphitrite. Its description in RNAcentral is "uncharacterized LOC122386850, transcript variant X1". Lineage: Eukaryota; Metazoa; Arthropoda; Thecostraca; Balanomorpha; Balanidae. The record is from RNAcentral.
UCGCCGGGUGGCAGUUAUGGAGUGUGUGGUGGGAUCAGCCGGUCGCCCAAAGAAACGGAUGGAGACCGUAAAAGAUUUAUACUACAUUUACCUAUGCAUCUUUUUUUUAGAAAGAAUACCAGCGACCUGAAUAUUUUUCAUUUUUGUUCCAGUACUCGAGAUCAGCGACGCAUCGCCAAGUGUUCAAGAGACACGUCUGGCCGUUACACGAUCACAAGGAAGGCUGGGAUCACGCCAGAGCGGAGAAGAUGGCAUACUUCGCCUGGACAGGAAGCGUGGAAGCUACGUGCGAUAUUGUCAAACUCGACGACGAAUAUUACAAACACAAUGUCGCCUUUGGAGUUCAGAAGCAUUCGCCAUAUAAGCAAUUCUUCGAUUACCAGGUCUCGGUCUGCCCAGCGUGGUGUCGGCGCUGGCGCUACUGGCUGGCGGACACCUGCUGAGCCUGCUGGUACUGGUUGCUGAGCUGCUCUGGUGCUGGCGAGCUGCGAUCAGCAGACACCGACCGCUCAGAGCAACUACACGCCGUCCAACAAAACCGCCCAGAGUCCACCACAGCUCAGCAAUCGUCGUUCGGGACAAUAGCAUUGCUAUCUCUUGGAAAUUGGUAUCGAAGAACUGAGUGCCCACUGUGAUCUAAAUUCUAAAUGUGUCGCCAUGUUGAACCUUGUUUGCUUCGUUUAUGAGUUCUGUUUCGCACUGGCCAUGAUCGACGAAUGAUCAAACGUAGGUACACCA